RNAcentral lists this long non-coding RNA (866 nucleotides) under Apteryx rowi (Okarito brown kiwi). RNAcentral's name for it is "lncRNA (ENSARWG00000018152.1)". The record is from RNAcentral. Lineage: Eukaryota; Metazoa; Chordata; Aves; Apterygiformes; Apterygidae.
AUUUUUUGCUCAACCACUUGUUAAGAACCCCUGCUAAGAAAUAUGUGUGCCCACUGGUAGAAGGAAGUAGUAUAGGGGUAGGUGUGCUUCAGAUAUUUGUAGGGAAUUGCACUAUUAAGAGGUUCUCACAAAGGCCAAUCACUACUUUUUUUGUGUGUGUGUGUGCAAAGGCUCGUGGUUGCAGGUGCUUGAACCAUCAGCACUCCAAUGCCAAAGUCCUCACCUGCCCUGAAGUAGGGUUACCACCGAACUACCUGUGACAAGGGACAGUGCCUUACAUGUAUAAAGCACUUGACUUCCCAUUUCUCAAGGAUUAGCACCCAGCAGUGUGCGGUGAUGUUUGUCCUUCCAUGACUAUGACUUUCUGCAGUGGUUGCAUUGCACUGUGGCCACAGAGCUGUGCAAAAAACACAAAAGACUUGCCUAUAGGAGCCAGAAUAUAUGUAGGAGUUGGAUCUUCACUUUGGAACUUCGUGUCGGAAGAGGUUGUCUUUAUUUUGUACAUUCCUCAUUCUUUGAGUGCCUGUCUUUGAGACCUGAGACUAAUUUGCAGGAGUUUGAAAACACAUAGCUACAGCUGUGUUAUGCCAUGUGCUCAGAAAAUUUAAAUUUUUCUUGUCUCCACUGGAUAUCCAAAAUCAAUAGAUACUUUUGGAUUUAAACUUCUUGUGCCUCAAAUGCAAAUCUGUAAAAGGGGAAUAAUAAUAUUCACCUUGCAUGGUUUUUGUACUGGAUUUUUUUCUAAAGCAGUGUUUUUACACCAAAUUACUUAAGCUUAUUAAAGAUGCAAACAAGGAAAAUUCAACCAUGUAGUUGUACUGACAGUAACAGGAUAUAUCAACAGGCUAGAAACUUUAAAUCUGCUG